Molecule: ribosomal RNA, 427 nt
Filed under: uncultured bacterium
Lineage: Bacteria
Description: partial 16S ribosomal RNA
Rfam family: Bacterial small subunit ribosomal RNA
Source: RNAcentral
UGGGGAAUAUUGCACAAUGGGCGCAAGCCUGAUGCAGCCAUGCCGCGUGUAUGAAGAAGGCCUUCGGGUUGUAAAGUACUUUCAGCGGGGAGGAAGGUGUUGAGGUUAAUAACCUCACCAAUUGACGUUACCCGCAGAAGAAGCACCGGCUAACUCCGUGCCAGCAGCCGCGGUAAUACGGAGGGUGCAAGCGUUAAUCGGAAUUACUGGGCGUAAAGCGCACGCAGGCGGUCUGUCAAGUCGGAUGUGAAAUCCCCGGGCUCAACCUGGGAACUGCAUUCGAAACUGGCAGGCUAGAGUCUUGUAGAGGGGGGUAGAAUUCCAGGUGUAGCGGUGAAAUGCGUAGAGAUCUGGAGGAAUACCGGUGGCGAAGGCGGCCCCCUGGACAAAGACUGACGCUCAGGUGCGAAAGCGUGGGGAGCAAACA